CUUGCUCUUCUUGGAUGAGUUGCGAACGGGUGAGUAACGCGUAGGUAACCUGCCUUGUAGCGGGGGAUAACUAUUGGAAACGAUAGCUAAUACCGCAUAACAAUGGGUGACACAUGUCAUUUAUUUGAAAGGGGCAAUUGCUCCACUACAAGAUGGACCUGCGUUGUAUUAGCUAGUAGGUGAGGUAACGGCUCACCUAGGCGACGAUACAUAGCCGACCUGAGAGGGUGAUCGGCCACACUGGGACUGAGACACGGCCCAGACUCCUACGGGAGGCAGCAGUAGGGAAUCUUCGGCAAUGGGGGCAACCCUGACCGAGCAACGCCGCGUGAGUGAAGAAGGUUUUCGGAUCGUAAAGCUCUGUUGUAAGUCAAGAACGAGUGUGAGAGUGGAAAGUUCACACUGUGACGGUAGCUUACCAGAAAGGGACGGCUAACUACGUGCCAGCAGCCGCGGUAAUACGUAGGUCCCGAGCGUUGUCCGGAUUUAUUGGGCGUAAAGCGAGCGCAGGCGGUUUGAUAAGUCUGAAGUUAAAGGCUGUGGCUCAACCAUAGUUCGCUUUGGAAACUGUCAAACUUGAGUGCAGAAGGGGAGAGUGGAAUUCCAUGUGUAGCGGUGAAAUGCGUAGAUAUAUGGAGGAACACCGGUGGCG
RNAcentral lists this ribosomal RNA (652 nucleotides) under Streptococcus salivarius. RNAcentral's name for it is "bacterial SSU rRNA". It matches the Rfam family "Bacterial small subunit ribosomal RNA", at positions 79 to 717 of the family's 1533-position model. The record is from RNAcentral. Lineage: Bacteria; Bacillati; Bacillota; Bacilli; Lactobacillales; Streptococcaceae.